Molecule: ribosomal RNA, 468 nt
Filed under: uncultured bacterium
Lineage: Bacteria
Description: partial 16S ribosomal RNA
Rfam family: Bacterial small subunit ribosomal RNA
Source: RNAcentral
GACGAACGCUGGCGGCGUGCUUAACACAUGCAAGUCGAACGGAAAGGCCCUGCUUUUGUGGGGUGCUCGAGUGGCGAACGGGUGAGUAACACGUGAGUAACCUGCCCUUGACUUUGGGAUAACUUCAGGAAACUGGGGCUAAUACCGGAUAGGAGCUCCUGCUGCAUGGUGGGGGUUGGAAAGUUUCGGCGGUUGGGGAUGGACUCGCGGCUUAUCAGCUUGUUGGUGGGGUAGUGGCUUACCAAGGCUUUGACGGGUAGCCGGCCUGAGGGGGUGACUGGCCACAUUGGGACUGAGAUACGGCCCAGACUCCUACGGGAGGCAGCAGUGGGGAAUAUUGCACAAUGGGCGGAAGCCUGAUGCAGCAACGCCGCGUGCGGGAUGACGGCCUUCGGGUUGUAAACCGCUUUCGCCUGUGACGAAGCGUGAGUGACGGUAAUGGGUAAAGAAGCACCGGCUAACUACGUG